CCUACGGGGGGCAGCAGUAGGGAAUAUUGCUCAAUGGGGGAAACCCUGAAGCAGCAACGCCGCGUGGAGGAUGAAGGUUUUCUGAUUGUAAACUCCUUUUGUUAGAGAAGAUAAUUACGGUAUCUAACGAAUAAGCACCGGCUAACUCCGUUCCAGCAGCCGCGGUAAUACGGAGGGUGCAAGCGUUACUCGGAAUCACUGGGCGUAAGGAGCGCGUAGGCGGGAUAGCAAGUCAGAUGUGAAAUCCUAUGGCUUAACCAUAGAACUGCAUUUGAAACUGUUAUUCUAGAGUAUGGGAGAGGUAGGUGGAAUGCUUGGUGUAGGGGUAAAAUCCGUAGAGAUCAAGAGGAAUACUCAUUGCGAAGGCGGCCUGCUGGGCUUUUACUGACGCUGAGGCUCGAAAGUGUGGGGAGCAAACAGGAUUAGAUACCCGAGUAGUC
This 440-nucleotide ribosomal RNA is filed under the name uncultured bacterium. RNAcentral's name for it is "partial 16S ribosomal RNA". It matches the Rfam family "Bacterial small subunit ribosomal RNA", at positions 338 to 795 of the family's 1533-position model. The record is from RNAcentral.